CCCGCUGAACUUAAGCAUAUCAAUAAGCGGAGGAAAAGAAACUAACAAGGAUUCCCCUAGUAACUGCGAGUGAAGCGGGAAAAGCUCAAAUUUAAAAUCUGGUGGUCUUUGGCUGCCCGAGUUGUAAUCUAGAGAAGUGUUAUCCGCGCUGGACCGUGUACAAGUCUCCUGGAAUGGAGCGUCAUAGAGGGUGAGAAUCCCGUCUUUGACACGGACUACCAGGGCUUUGUGAUGCGCUCUCAAAGAGUCGAGUUGUUUGGGAAUGCAGCUCUAAAUGGGUGGUAAAUUCCAUCUAAAGCUAAAUAUUGGCGAGAGACCGAUAGCGAACAAGUACCGUGAGGGAAAGAUGAAAAGAACUUUGGAAAGAGAGUUAAACAGUACGUGAAAUUGUUGAAAGGGAAACGCUUGAAGUCAGUCACGUCGGCCAGGGAUCAACCUUGCUUUUCUGCUUGGUGUACUUUCUGGUUGAUGGGUCAGCAUCAAUUUUGACCAGUGGAGAAAGGUCAGGGGAAUGUGGCAUCUUCGGAUGUGUUAUAGCCCUUGGUUGCAUACAUUGGUUGGGAUUGAGGAACUCAGCACGCCGCAAGGCCGGGUUUUUAUUAACCACGUACGUGCUUAGGAUGUUGGCAUAAUGGCUUUAAUCGACCCGUCUUGAAACACGG
This 662-nucleotide ribosomal RNA is filed under the name uncultured fungus. RNAcentral's name for it is "eukaryotic LSU rRNA". It matches the Rfam family "Eukaryotic large subunit ribosomal RNA", at positions 24 to 664 of the family's 3401-position model. Lineage: Eukaryota; Fungi. The record is from RNAcentral.